RNAcentral lists this long non-coding RNA (297 nucleotides) under Locusta migratoria (migratory locust). RNAcentral describes it as "partial Lnc33982". Lineage: Eukaryota; Metazoa; Arthropoda; Insecta; Orthoptera; Acrididae. The record is from RNAcentral.
UAUUUGGCGUUUCAAAUUGCAUGAUUCUGGAUCUACAGGAAGUAGAGUGAUUAGUGAGUUUGUAUGGCAUGCGCAAUUGCAUUGACAUAGAAGCUUAGCAAACUCUAUAGUUUUUAUGAAAUGUCUUUGUCUUUUCUCCAUAAUUUGUCAUUCUCACUGCUAAGCAUUUUUACCCAUAAGUAGGUGUUGUUGAACCUCUUCUUCCUUUAGCAGAUUCUUAUUUAGUACACCAGUUCUUCUGCAUCUCCAUCUUUUCUUCAAAUUCUGCAGUUUUUAAAAUAUUUUAUGACCUUACCC